UACGUAGGGGGCAAGCGUUGUCCGGAAUCAUUGGGCGUAAAGAGCGUGUAGGCGGCCCGAUAAGUCCGCUGUGAAAGUCCAGGGCUCAACCCUGGGAUGCCGGUGGAUACUGUCGGGCUCGAGUCCGGAAGAGGAGUGUGGAAUUCCUGGUGUAGCGGUGAAAUGCGCAGAUAUCAGGAGGAACACCAAUGGCGAAGGCAGCACUCUGGGACGUGACUGACGCUGAGACGCGAAAGCUAGGGGAGCGAACAGG
Molecule: ribosomal RNA, 253 nt
Filed under: uncultured bacterium
Lineage: Bacteria
Description: partial 16S ribosomal RNA
Rfam family: Bacterial small subunit ribosomal RNA
Source: RNAcentral